This 198-nucleotide ribosomal RNA is filed under the name uncultured bacterium. RNAcentral describes it as "partial 16S ribosomal RNA". It matches the Rfam family "Bacterial small subunit ribosomal RNA", at positions 326 to 539 of the family's 1533-position model. The record is from RNAcentral.
ACGCUCGACACCUACGAGGCAGCAGUGGGGAAUAUUGGGCAAUGGGCGCAAGCCUGACCCAGCAACGCCGCGUGAGUGAUGAAGGUCUUCGGAUUGUAAAACUCUUUAAGCAGGGAAGAAGAAAGUGACGGUACCUGCAGAAUAAGCAUCGGCUAACUACGUGCCGCAGCCGCGGUAAUCUGAGCGGGCUGGCAAGGC